RNAcentral lists this ribosomal RNA (497 nucleotides) under uncultured bacterium. RNAcentral describes it as "partial 16S ribosomal RNA". It matches the Rfam family "Bacterial small subunit ribosomal RNA", at positions 28 to 507 of the family's 1533-position model. The record is from RNAcentral.
GAUGAACGCUGGCGGCGUGCCUAAUACAUGCAAGUCGAGCGAACAGAUGAGGAGCUUGCUCCUCUGACGUUAGCGGCGGACGGGUGAGUAACACGUGGAUAACCUACCUAUAAGACUGGGAUAACUUCGGGAAACCGGAGCUAGUACCGGAUAAUAUAUUGAACCGCAUGGUUCAAUAGUGAAAGACGGUUUUGCUGUCACUUAUAGAUGGAUCCGCGCCGCAUUAGCUAGUUGGUAAGGUAACGGCUUACCAAGGCGACGAUGCGUAGCCGACCUGAGAGGGUGAUCGGCCACACUGGAACUGAGACACGGUCCAGACUCCUACGGGAGGCAGCAGUAGGGAAUCUUCCGCAAUGGGCGAAAGCCUGACGGAGCAACGCCGCGUGAGUGAUGAAGGUCUUCGGAUCGUAAAACUCUGUUAUUAGGGAAGAACAAAUGUGUAAGUAACUAUGCACGUCUUGACGGUACCUAAUCAGAAAGCCACGGCUAACUACGUG